CGCCUGUUUAUCAAAAACAUCUUCUUUAGUGUUUAUUAAAGAUAUAACCUGCUCAAUGAUUUUUAAAUAGCCGCAGUAAUUUAACUGUGCUAAGGUAGCAUAAUAAUUAGUCUUUUAAUUGAGGUCUGGAAUGAAUGGUUGGACGAGAAAUAUACUUUAUUUAAUUGAUUUUAUUGAAUUUUAUUUUUUAGUUAAAAAGCUAAAAUUUUGAAGAGGGACGAUAAGACCCUAUAGAUCUUAAUUUAAUUUAUUUAAGAUAAAAUUUGUUGUAUUUUUUAAUUUAUUUAUUUUAAAUUUGGUUGGGGCGACAAAUAAAUUUUUAAACCUUUUUUUUUUUUUACAAUUAUUUUUGGUUUUUGAUCUUUUUUAUUGAUUAUAAGAUGAAGAUACCUUAGGGAUAACAGCGUUAUUUAGUUGGAUAGUUCAUAUUGAUAGCUAAGAUUGCGACCUCGAUGUUGAAUUAAAAUUUUCUGUGGAGUAGG
Molecule: ribosomal RNA, 482 nt
Filed under: Orthopagus sp. WBY-2000
Lineage: Eukaryota; Metazoa; Arthropoda; Insecta; Hemiptera; Dictyopharidae
Description: partial 16S ribosomal RNA
Rfam family: Archaeal large subunit ribosomal RNA (bases 1-148)
Source: RNAcentral